This is a long non-coding RNA of Scophthalmus maximus (turbot), 1276 nucleotides long. RefSeq lists it as uncharacterized. NCBI's taxonomy places the organism in Eukaryota, Metazoa, Chordata, Actinopteri, Pleuronectiformes, Scophthalmidae. The record is from RefSeq and is a predicted model, not a curated record. The transcript is spliced from 2 exons.
CCAGGAGCCGGCGAAUGGGGAACAAACAUUUGGUGGCGCUCCGGAGUUUACGCCUGCUGUGCUCCACCAUGAGCCUGACCCUGUGCAGGAAUGUCAAGCAUCUCCGCCGUUCUAUUCAACCGGACCAAGGAGCUCGACCUCCGUGAUGAAAGUGUUCACGUAUGAGAUCAUAAAAAACACAAGUCCUGUCGUGAAGCCUUUCCUGUGUGUUAGAGAUGGUCUAUGGAUUAAUAUUUAACGUUAAAAUGCGGUCACAUGGUGCAGUCAGGAUAACUCUAAAUGAUUCAUGCCUACAUGUUCUUCCGCAGACCAAUAUGAAUAUUAAAAUGUAUAUAGUUUAACUUUUUGAUCAAGGUGUACUUUGUUGUUUAGUAUAUUACGCUACUUCCCCUUGUGUCGAAACUUUGUGAAGAAAAAGUUUGUCUUGGCAUACAUCCCAAAAAAAAUAUUUUUCUUCACAAGAUGUCUUUGUGGAAAGGAAAGUAAAGGUAUUAUUAUAAUAGUAGUUUAUAAAAAAUUGUGUUGUCUGCUUUGUAACUUUUAACUAACUUUUUUCUCUGCUUUUUUUCAGAUCUUUGAGCAUACAAAUUGUAAACAACCUUAAAAUUGAACUACAGUCCCCCUCUGCAUCAUUCAAAGCAAAGCACAUUUAGACCUGUUGCUUUGUACGAUGCAACAGAGGGGGACUGCAGUUCAAUUUUAAGGUUGUUUACAGAUAAAAGUUUAGUAUAACCCCCUACUUAUCUUUGUCUCCUAUCUAUAACCCCCUACUUAUAUUUCUCCCGAGGGCCAGGGGGGCUGACGUUCCCCCCGGCAUUCUCAUCCGCAACCUCUCUGGACCUCCCCCAACCGCAACCUCUAGGAGCCCCCACCAACUCCAUCUGCCCCCAAUAUCACCUCCAUCAUCCUGUUAAUACACAGAUCCUGUUAAUAUACACAACCAUGUUAAUAUACACACCUUCAGCAAUCUUUCCGUGGUCCCUCCCGACCGUCAUCUCCGUUCACAGCUCUCUCUCUCUCUUUACCGAGCGGCAUUCGAUUUUUCACUUUGAAAAGGACACGCAUACACCGGAGGCCUUGAACGAAUGAAAAGGAAGUUGCAUUGGCCGGGAAUCGAACCCGGGCCUCCCGCGUGGCAGGCGAGAAUUCUACCACUGAACCACCAAUGCUUGUCAUGAUUUCACAUAAGUCUGUUUAAAUUGCGCCCCCGGUGGCUGCAGCAGGGGAAGUCAACUGGAUCUUCCUUCUCCAUAUCAGCAAAUGAGAAAUGGGCUAC